This 235-nucleotide ribosomal RNA is filed under the name uncultured Bacteroidota bacterium. Its description in RNAcentral is "uncultured Bacteroidetes bacterium partial 16S ribosomal RNA". It matches the Rfam family "Bacterial small subunit ribosomal RNA", at positions 103 to 339 of the family's 1533-position model. The record is from RNAcentral. Lineage: Bacteria; Pseudomonadati; Bacteroidota.
CGGGUGAGUAACGCGUAUGCAACCUGCCCUUCACAGGGGGAUAACCGGGAGAAAUUCCGACUAAUACCGCAUACGUCCUCCGGGGGCAUCCCCGGGGGAUGAAAGAAUUAUCGGUGAAGGAUGGGCAUGCGUGAUAUUAGGUAGUUGGCGGGGCAACGGCCCACCAAGCCCACGAUAUCUAGGGGUUCUGAGAGGAAGGUCCCCCACAUUGGUACUGAGACACGGACCAAACUCC